UGAUCAUACAUUUAGAAGUGAGACUCAUUUGAUACAAGUGACGAACUCAUGAUUUGACAAACAUGAAUUGAAAGUACUGGUCGUUGAAUUAAUAUUCAGAACGCAAUUACUACAUUUGGAUGAUAUGGACAGACCAGAAAAUAUACACAGAGGAAAGAUUAAAUACUCAAUCAGCACAUCAGAGAAUACACUAGUAGAGCCAAGAACAGGGAAUUAGGGAUGGAAAGUCACCAUGCUGAGCUGUCAAGAGUCCUGGGGAGUAAAACCUUCUUCUGCUAUGCAUCAUAGGCUAGGGCAGGCCAUGGUGUGGGCUGAGAUGGAAAUGUGUAAUGGUAUGAACCCUGGAGGAGCUGAUCCAGGGAAAACUCUCCUGACCUUGUGGAAAACACAUCCAUCUGAACCUCACAGUGAAAUGCAAACACACAAGUUAACCACAGAAGUUAAGAAAUAUCUUUGCCUGCAUUGUAUUGCUUUAAUGUGGAAAGUUUUAACAUGAGAAGCAGAGCAACAACAAAUGUGUCCUUCAUGCCAGUGCCACCACAGAACUGUCCUCGUGGUGGUGCUCUUCUUAGAAGAAAUACUGUGCCCCAGGUUGUUUUCAUUUUGCAAGCCAAGAAAUAUUUUGCAGUGACUGACAUACUUUCAGAUUUACACACUAUUAGGUAUUGAUUCUGUCCACAAAGAGUGAGAAAAAUGUUAAGGAGAGAGAGACAUGAUUCAAAUUAACCUGAGAAGGUACAAGGAGGUCCUUAAAUAAAAUUGAGUAGAGAUUUGGUCAAGAACAGAUGUUUUGUUCCAGAAAUUACUUCUUCUGAACAAGACCAGAUUUCCACUGAAGGCAAUCAACCAUAUGUAACCGUGCAUGUCAGAAUAAGUAUAAGACAUUCUUAAAAAUAAGCAAAACUUCACUCUUGGCUUGCAUGGGUGUAGAAGUAAGAUC
Oxyura jamaicensis (ruddy duck) is the source of this 940-nucleotide long non-coding RNA. RefSeq lists it as uncharacterized. The record is from RefSeq and is a predicted model, not a curated record. The transcript is spliced from 4 exons. NCBI's taxonomy places the organism in Eukaryota, Metazoa, Chordata, Aves, Anseriformes, Anatidae.